GACGAACGCUGGCGGCGUGCUUAACACAUGCAAGUCGAACGGAAAGGCCCUGCUUUUGUGGGGUGCUCGAGUGGCGAACGGGUGAGUAACACGUGAGUAACCUGCCCUUGACUUUGGGAUAACUUCAGGAAACUGGGGCUAAUACCGGAUAGGAGCUCCUGCUGCAUGGUGGGGGUUGGAGAGUUUCGGCGGUUGGGGAUGGACUCGCGGCUUAUCAGCUUGUUGGUGGGGUAGUGGCUUACCAAGGCUUUGACGGGUAGCCGGCCUGAGAGGGUGACCGGCCACAUUGGGACUGAGAUACGGCCCAGACUCCUACGGGAGGCAGCAGUGGGGAAUAUUGCACAAUGGGCGGAAGCCUGAUGCAGCAACGCCGCGUGCGGGAUGGCGGCCUUCGGGUUGUAAACCGCUUUCGCCUGUGACGAAGCGUGAGUGACGGUAAUGGGUAAAGAAGCACCGGCUAACUACGUG
This 468-nucleotide ribosomal RNA is filed under the name uncultured bacterium. RNAcentral describes it as "partial 16S ribosomal RNA". It matches the Rfam family "Bacterial small subunit ribosomal RNA", at positions 28 to 507 of the family's 1533-position model. The record is from RNAcentral.